Long non-coding RNA from Cyprinus carpio (common carp), 871 nucleotides. The record is from Ensembl. Lineage: Eukaryota; Metazoa; Chordata; Actinopteri; Cypriniformes; Cyprinidae.
CUCCAUCCAAGCACGAUCAGGUAUCUGACCGCUGUGUGGUGUGGAUAAGAUCUGGCGUCCCUAGUUCCACCACAAGUUUAACUCCACAGCCCAAGUUGGAAAGGAGUCCAAGCCCUGAGCGCAUUUUGAUUCGCCGCUCUGCCCCUGCGAGGAGGAGCCACGGGGAUGUGAAGACAAAUGUUUGCACUGCUGGGAACGUUCAUCAAGCGUGCAGUUAAAACGCGGGUACAUGCGAAAGUUUGUCAUGCUGUUUACUGGAAACCGAAGGUCUGAAUUGGAGCCAACAACCGCAACAGCUGAGAGGAGGCCCCAGAAGCCUCUCACAAAAGUAGAGGGAAGUUUGACAUGAUUGCAUCCCUAAAUUUAAACCCUGUGCAAACAGAAUACCUGGCAGCAGCUCUGUGCGCAACGCUGCAUUCACAUGCUCUUUGGUAUACAGAAGGCUAUGUCUGUCCCAAUCUGAUCUUCAGCCCUAUCAGGAAUGGACUAUGUAAUGAUGAGAGUUGUCAUGUUGUAGACAUACAAACGGGGGCUGGGUGUUGGAAUUCAGCAGAGAAUUUCCUGCCAGUUUAAAUCCUCGAUAUACCUGGAGCUUCAGAAGAUGAUCCAAAACACAUGCAACCAAAUCCAUCACACUGCUUCAGUCAGUUGGCCACAAUACACCAAGCAGAGAGAGACAGACAAAAGAAAUGAAGGACACCCAAAAUCUUUUUUUCUGAAAAGUUUGAUCGUUAGUUCAUUCAUUCAUUCACUCAUUCAUUCAUUUAUUUAUUUAGUAAGUGAUUAAUUCAUUAAUUUUAUUAAAUACAUUUUUAUUUGUUAUUAUUAUUUUUUAUUUUUUAUUUCCUAUAUAUUUAUAAUAUAAUAAGUA